This 69-nucleotide transfer RNA is filed under the name Ciona intestinalis (vase tunicate). RNAcentral describes it as "tRNA (ENSCING00000025199.1)". Lineage: Eukaryota; Metazoa; Chordata; Ascidiacea; Phlebobranchia; Cionidae. RNAcentral also lists the same sequence under 1 other name. The record is from RNAcentral.
UUUAAUUUAACAUAUAAUAAUGUAGUUAAUUGUUAAUUAACUUAAACGGAAGUAUCACCGUAAUUAAAA